Molecule: ribosomal RNA, 499 nt
Filed under: uncultured bacterium
Lineage: Bacteria
Description: partial 16S ribosomal RNA
Rfam family: Bacterial small subunit ribosomal RNA
Source: RNAcentral
AUUGAACGCUGGCGGAAUGCUUUACACAUGCAAGUCGAACGGCAGCACGGACUUCGGUCUGGUGGCGAGUGGCGAACGGGUGAGUAAUGUAUCGGAACGUGCCAGUCGUGGGGGAUAACGUAGUGAAAAUUACGCUAAUACCGCAUACGAUCUAUGGAUGAAAGCGGGGGGUCGCAAGACCUCGCGCGAUUGGAGCGGCCGAUAUCAGAUUAGGUAGUUGGUGGGGUAAAGGCCCACCAAGCCAACGAUCUGUAGCUGGUCUGAGAGGACGACCAGCCACAGUGGAACUGAGACACGGUCCAGACUCCUACGGGAGGCAGCAGUGGGGAAUUUUGGACAAUGGGCGAAAGCCUGAUCCAGCCAUUCCGCGUGCAGGAUGAAGGCCCUCGGGUUGUAAACUGCUUUUGUACAGAACGAAAAGGUUUCUACUAAUACUAGGAGCUCAUGACGGUACUGUAAGAAUAAGCACCGGCUAACUACGUGCCAGCCGCCGCUGUAA